GAUGAACGCUGGCGGCGUGCUUAACACAUGCAAGUCGAACGAAGCAUUUGCGACAGAUUUUUUCGGAAUGAAGUUGCUUAUGACUGAGUGGCGGACGGGUGAGUAACGCGUGGGUAACCUGCCUUGUACUGGGGGAUAGCAGCUGGAAACGGCUGGUAAUACCGCAUAAGCGCACAAUGUUGCAUGACAUGGUGUGAAAAACUCCGGUGGUAUAAGAUGGACCCGCGUCUGAUUGGCUAGUUGGUGAGAUAACAGCCCACCAAGGCGACGAUCAGUAGCCGACCUGAGAGGGUGACCGGCCACAGUGGGACUGAGACACGGCCCAGACUCCUACGGGAGGCAGCAGUGGGGAAUAUUGCACAAUGGAGGAAACUCUGAUGCAGCGACGCCGCGUGAGUGAAGAAGUAAUUCGUUAUGUAAAGCUCUAUCAGCAGGGAAGAUAGUGACGGUACCUGACUAAGAAGCUCCGGCUAAAUACGUG
Molecule: ribosomal RNA, 481 nt
Filed under: uncultured bacterium
Lineage: Bacteria
Description: partial 16S ribosomal RNA
Rfam family: Bacterial small subunit ribosomal RNA
Source: RNAcentral